This 262-nucleotide ribosomal RNA is filed under the name uncultured bacterium. Its description in RNAcentral is "partial 16S ribosomal RNA". It matches the Rfam family "Bacterial small subunit ribosomal RNA", at positions 793 to 1055 of the family's 1533-position model. The record is from RNAcentral.
GUCCAUGCCGUAAACGUUGGGCACUAGGUGUGGGGCUCACUCCACGAGUUCCGUGCCGCAGCAAACGCAUUAAGUGCCCCGCCUGGGGAGUACGGCCGCAAGGCUAAAACUCAAAGGAAUUGACGGGGGCCCGCACAAGCGGCGGAGCAUGCGGAUUAAUUCGAUGCAACGCGAAGAACCUUACCAAGGCUUGACAUAUACCGAAAACUCAUGGAGACAUGGGGUCCGCAAGGGCGGUAUACAGGUGGUGCAUGGUUGUCGU